AUAAGGUACAUGAUAUACACAGCGGGUUGUUAAAAUGUUG
RNAcentral lists this non-coding RNA (40 nucleotides) under Trypanosoma lewisi. Lineage: Eukaryota; Euglenozoa; Kinetoplastea; Trypanosomatida; Trypanosomatidae. The record is from RNAcentral.